This 491-nucleotide ribosomal RNA is filed under the name uncultured bacterium. RNAcentral's name for it is "partial 16S ribosomal RNA". It matches the Rfam family "Bacterial small subunit ribosomal RNA", at positions 29 to 507 of the family's 1533-position model. The record is from RNAcentral.
GUGAACGCUGGCGGUAGGCCUAACCCAUGCAAGUCGAACGGCAGCACAGUAAGAGCUUGCUCUUACGGGUGGCGAGUGGCGGACGGGUGAGGAAUACAUCGGAAUCUACUUUUUCGUGGGGGAUAACGUAGGGAAACUUACGCUAAUACCGCAUACGACCUACGGGUGAAAGCAGGGGAUCUUCGGACCUUGCGCGAUUGAAUGAGCCGAUGUCGGAUUAGCUAGUUGGCGGGGUAAAGGCCCACCAAGGCGACGAUCCGUAGCUGGUCUGAGAGGAUGAUCAGCCACACUGGAACUGAGACACGGUCCAGACUCCUACGGGAGGCAGCAGUGGGGAAUAUUGGACAAUGGGCGCAAGCCUGAUCCAGCCAUACCGCGUGGGUGAAGAAGGCCUUCGGGUUGUAAAGCCCUUUUGUUGGGAAAGAAAAGCAGCAGGUUAAUACCCCGCUGUUUUGACGGUACCCAAAGAAUAAGCACCGGCUAACUUCGUG